This 326-nucleotide ribosomal RNA is filed under the name Hydrogenophaga sp. SCN 70-13. RNAcentral's name for it is "bacterial SSU rRNA". It matches the Rfam family "Bacterial small subunit ribosomal RNA", at positions 1 to 323 of the family's 1533-position model. The record is from RNAcentral. Lineage: Bacteria; Pseudomonadati; Pseudomonadota; Betaproteobacteria; Burkholderiales; Comamonadaceae.
UAAGUGAAGAGUUUGAUCCUGGCUCAGAGUGAACGCUGGCGGUAGGCCUAACACAUGCAAGUCGAACGGCAGCACAGGAGAGCUUGCUCUCUGGGUGGCGAGUGGCGGACGGGUGAGGAAUACAUCGGAAUCUACCUUUUCGUGGGGGAUAACGUAGGGAAACUUACGCUAAUACCGCAUAAGACCUUCGGGUGAAAGCCGGGGACCUUCGGGCCUGGCGCGGAUAGAUGAGCCGAUGCCCGAUUAGCUAGUUGGCGGGGUAAGAGCCCACCAAGGCGACGAUCGGUAGCUGGUCUGAGAGGAUGAUCAGCCACACUGGAACUGAG